This 249-nucleotide unclassified non-coding RNA is filed under the name Chondrilla lejosperma. RNAcentral describes it as "ITS1". The record is from RNAcentral. Lineage: Eukaryota; Viridiplantae; Streptophyta; Magnoliopsida; Asterales; Asteraceae.
CUGCGAUGCAGAACGACCCGUGAACAUGUAAACACAACUGGGUUUUGGAGAAAUGGGCCUCGGUCUAAAUCUUAAAAACCCAUCCGAUGUCCAUUUGUGGUGCCCUUUUAGGGUAUCAUGGAUGAUUUUGUCGGACCAUAACAAACCCCGGCACGGCAUGUGCCAAGGAAAACAUAAUAUGGAAAGAUGGACUUGUCUUGUAUUGCCCCGUUUGCGGUGUGCAUUCAAGCUUUGGCCUACUUAGAACAA